Molecule: transfer RNA, 78 nt
Filed under: Pestalotiopsis fici W106-1
Lineage: Eukaryota; Fungi; Ascomycota; Sordariomycetes; Amphisphaeriales; Sporocadaceae
Rfam family: tRNA
About the family: Transfer RNA (tRNA) molecules are approximately 80 nucleotides in length. Their secondary structure includes four short double-helical elements and three loops (D, anti-codon, and T loops). Further hydrogen bonds mediate the characteristic L-shaped molecular structure. tRNAs have two regions of fundamental functional importance: the anti-codon, which is responsible for specific mRNA codon recognition, and the 3' end, to which the tRNAs corresponding amino acid is attached (by aminoacyl-tRNA synthetases). tRNAs cope with the degeneracy of the genetic code in two manners: having more than one tRNA (with a specific anti-codon) for a particular amino acid; and 'wobble' base-pairing, i.e. permitting non-standard base-pairing at the 3rd anti-codon position.
Source: Rfam by way of RNAcentral
GCGCCCGUGGGCUAGUCGUUAAGCCGCUUCCCUCCCAUGGAUAGGAAGAGAUCGUGGGUUCAAAUCCCGCCGGACGCA